Molecule: unclassified non-coding RNA, 164 nt
Filed under: Fusarium tricinctum
Lineage: Eukaryota; Fungi; Ascomycota; Sordariomycetes; Hypocreales; Nectriaceae
Description: ITS2
Source: RNAcentral
CGUCAUUUCAACCCUCAAACCCCCCGGGUUUGGUGUUGGGGAUCGGCUCUGCCCUUCUGGGCGGUGCCGCCCCCGAAAUACAUUGGCGGUCUCGCUGCAGCCUCCAUUGCGUAGUAGCUAACACCUCGCAACUGGAACGCGGCGCGGCCAUGCCGUAAAACCCC